CCUGAUCCAGCCAUUCCGCGUGCAGGAUGAAGGCCCUCGGGUUGUAAACUGCUUUUGUACGGAACGAAAAGGCCUGGGUUAAUACCUCGGGCUCAUGACGGUACCGUAAGAAUAAGCACCGGCUAACUACGUGCCAGCAGCCGCGGUAAUACGUAGGGUGCAAGCGUUAAUCGGAAUUACUGGGCGUAAAGCGUGCGCAGGCGGUGAUGUAAGACAGGUGUGAAAUCCCCGGGCUUAACCUGGGAACUGCAUUUGUGACUGCAUCGCUGGAGUGCGGCAGAGGGGGAUGGAAUUCCGCGUGUAGCAGUGAAAUGCGUAGAUAUGCGGAGGAACACCGAUGGCGAAGGCAAUCCCCUGGGCCUGCACUGACGCUCAUGCACGAAAGCGUGGGGAGCAAACAGGAUUAGAUACCCUGGUAGUCCACGCCCUAAACGAUGUCAACUGGUUGUUGGGUCUUCACUGACUCAGUAACGAAGCUAACGCGUGAAGUUGACCGCCUGGGGAGACGGCCGCAAGGUUGAAACUCAA
RNAcentral lists this ribosomal RNA (528 nucleotides) under uncultured Comamonadaceae bacterium. RNAcentral's name for it is "bacterial SSU rRNA". It matches the Rfam family "Bacterial small subunit ribosomal RNA", at positions 382 to 904 of the family's 1533-position model. The record is from RNAcentral. Lineage: Bacteria; Pseudomonadati; Pseudomonadota; Betaproteobacteria; Burkholderiales; Comamonadaceae.